RNAcentral lists this ribosomal RNA (443 nucleotides) under uncultured bacterium. Its description in RNAcentral is "partial 16S ribosomal RNA". It matches the Rfam family "Bacterial small subunit ribosomal RNA", at positions 338 to 795 of the family's 1533-position model. The record is from RNAcentral.
CCUACGGGAGGCAGCAGUGGGGAAUAUUGGGCAAUGGAGGCAACUCUGACCCAGCAACGCCGCGUGAAUGAUGAAGGUCUUCGGAUUGUAAAGUUCUUUUCUAAGGGAAGAAGAAAGUGACGGUACCUUAGGAAUAAGCCUCGGCUAACUACGUGCCAGCAGCCGCGGUAAUACGGAGGAGGCAAGCGUUAGACGGAAUGACUGGGUGUAAAGGGUGCGUAGGGGGUUUGACAAGUUAGUAGCGAAACUCAGGGGCUCAACUUCGGAAUUACUACUAAGACUGUUGGACUUGAGUGAAGUAGAGGCAGGCGGAAUUCGUGGUGUAGCGGUGAAAUGCGUAGAUAUUACGAAGAACCCCGGUGGCGAAGGCGGCCUACUGGGCUUUUACUGACGCUGAGGCUCGAAAGCGUGGGUAGCAAACAGGAUUAGAUACCCGAGUAGUC